UUUCCGUAGGUGACCCUGCGGAAGGAUCAUUAUUGUAUAACCGAGGUGCGAGGGCUGUCGCUGACCCGAAAGGUCGUGCACGCCCGAGUGCCCUCACACACAUCCAUCUCACCCCUAUGUGCACCACCGCGUGGGUCCCCCUUUGGCUUGUUCGGAGGGGGGCUUACGUUUUCACACAAACUUUGUAUGCAGUGUAGAAUGUAUUUUUUGUUUUUGCGAUCACGCAAUCAAUACAACUUUCAACAACGGAUCUCUUGGCUCUC
Molecule: unclassified non-coding RNA, 263 nt
Filed under: plant metagenome
Description: partial contains small subunit ribosomal RNA, internal transcribed spacer 1, and 5.8S ribosomal RNA
Source: RNAcentral